This 839-nucleotide ribosomal RNA is filed under the name Bacillus sp. (in: firmicutes). RNAcentral's name for it is "bacterial SSU rRNA". It matches the Rfam family "Bacterial small subunit ribosomal RNA", at positions 657 to 1496 of the family's 1533-position model. Lineage: Bacteria; Bacillati; Bacillota; Bacilli; Caryophanales; Bacillaceae. The record is from RNAcentral.
GAGAUAGGAAUUCCACGUGUAGCGGUGAAAUGCGUAGAGAUGUGGAGGAACACCAGUGGCGAAGGCGACUCUCUGGUCUGUAACUGACGCUGAGGAGCGAAAGCGUGGGGAGCGAACAGGAUUAGAUACCCUGGUAGUCCACGCCGUAAACGAUGAGUGCUAAGUGUUAGGGGGUUUCCGCCCCUUAGUGCUGCAGCUAACGCAUUAAGCACUCCGCCUGGGGAGUACGGUCGCAAGACUGAAACUCAAAGGAAUUGACGGGGGCCCGCACAAGCGGUGGAGCAUGUGGUUUAAUUCGAAGCAACGCGAAGAACCUUACCAGGUCUUGACAUCCUCUGACAACCCUAGAGAUAGGGCUUUCCCUUCGGGGACAGAGUGACAGGUGGUGCAUGGUUGUCGUCAGCUCGUGUCGUGAGAUGUUGGGUUAAGUCCCGCAACGAGCGCAACCCUUGAUCUUAGUUGCCAGCAUUCAGUUGGGCACUCUAAGGUGACUGCCGGUGACAAACCGGAGGAAGGUGGGGAUGACGUCAAAUCAUCAUGCCCCUUAUGACCUGGGCUACACACGUGCUACAAUGGACAGAACAAAGGGCUGCAAGACCGCAAGGUUUAGCCAAUCCCAUAAAUCUGUUCUCAGUUCGGAUCGCAGUCUGCAACUCGACUGCGUGAAGCUGGAAUCGCUAGUAAUCGCGGAUCAGCAUGCCGCGGGUGAAUACGUUCCCGGGCCUUGUACACACCGCCCGUCACACCACGAGAGUUUGCAACACCCGAAGUCGGUGAGGUAACCUUUAUGGAGCCAGCCGCCGAAGUGGGGCAGAUGAUUGGGGUGAAGUCGUACAGGG